This 56-nucleotide ribosomal RNA is filed under the name Mammillaria deherdtiana. RNAcentral's name for it is "partial 26S ribosomal RNA". Lineage: Eukaryota; Viridiplantae; Streptophyta; Magnoliopsida; Caryophyllales; Cactaceae. The record is from RNAcentral.
CGACCCCAAGUCAGACAGGGCUACCCGCUGAGUUUAAGCAUAUCAAUAAGCGGAGG